CUUGCACCUAAACUUAAGAAUCACUGUCUCUAAUACCAGUGGUUUAAACAGAGGUGAAAACAGCAAGUGGAUUGUGUUGCUUUUGGUGAGCUAUGGGAUCAGGAGUUUCUACAUUC
RNAcentral lists this small nucleolar RNA (116 nucleotides) under Carlito syrichta (Philippine tarsier). RNAcentral's name for it is "Small nucleolar RNA SNORA68 (ENSTSYG00000024594.2)". It matches the Rfam family "Small nucleolar RNA SNORA68". Rfam says of the family: U68 is a member of the H/ACA class of small nucleolar RNAs (snoRNAs) which act as guides in the the modification of uridines to pseudouridines. Lineage: Eukaryota; Metazoa; Chordata; Mammalia; Primates; Tarsiidae. The record is from Rfam by way of RNAcentral.